This 465-nucleotide ribosomal RNA is filed under the name uncultured bacterium. RNAcentral describes it as "partial 16S ribosomal RNA". It matches the Rfam family "Bacterial small subunit ribosomal RNA", at positions 28 to 507 of the family's 1533-position model. The record is from RNAcentral.
GACGAACGCUGGCGGCGUGCUUAACACAUGCAAGUCGUACGGUAAGGCCCUUUCGGGGGUACACGAGUGGCGAACGGGUGAGUAACACGUGAGUAACCUGCCCACAACUUUGGGAUAACGCUAGGAAACUGGUGCUAAUACUGGAUAUGUGCCCCUGCUGCAUGGUGGGGGUUGGAAAGCUCCGGCGGUUGUGGAUGGACUCGCGGCCUAUCAGCUUGUUGGUGGGGUAGUGGCCUACCAAGGCGGCGACGGGUAGCCGGCCUGAGAGGGUGACCGGCCACAUUGGGACUGAGAUACGGCCCAGACUCCUACGGGAGGAAGCAGUGGGGAAUAUUGCACAAUGGGCGCAAGCCUGAUGCAGCAACGCCGCGUGCGGGAUGACGGCCUUCGGGUUGUAAACCGCUUUCAGCAGGGACGAAGCUUUUUGUGACGGUACCUGCAGAAGAAGCACCGGCUAACUACGUG